Long non-coding RNA from Leopardus geoffroyi (Geoffroy's cat), 4724 nucleotides. RefSeq lists it as uncharacterized. The transcript is spliced from 3 exons. NCBI's taxonomy places the organism in Eukaryota, Metazoa, Chordata, Mammalia, Carnivora, Felidae. The record is from RefSeq and is a predicted model, not a curated record.
ACAUAUAUAUAUAUAUUUCCAUGGAUAUGUUAUCCAUGUUAUUCUGAAUCCUCACUACCUUGAAUAACUCAACUGGUUAUGUUUUCUUUAUUUACUUGGUAUAGGAAGUGGUAAGCAUUUGAAGAUGUGACAUUUUACAUUUUAAAAUUAGGCAACCAAUAUCAAGCAAAUUUUAUAAGACUUUACCUUUUUAGCACUGAAGAUUUUAUUUUAAAGUUUAUUUAUUUAUUUUUGAGAGAGAGUGCAAGUGGUGGGGAGUGGGGGGAGCAAACAGAGAGAGAGGGAGAAUCCCAAGCAGGCUCUGCACUGUCAGUGAGGAGCCCAAAGCAAGGCUUGAACUCACAAACUGUGAGAUCAUGACCUGAACUGAAAUCAAGAGUCAGAUGCUCAACCGACUGAGCCACCCAGAUGCUCCAGCACUGAAGAUUUUAAAUGUUUCUGCAAGACUCUUCUAAAGAUCUAAAAAUACGAAAAGUAUAGAAAGUUAUUCUACUUUUCAUUUCAGUUGUUUUGCCUUAACGGUCCCUGUUACUUGGGUGUAACAAAGGCUGGGUGUGCCUUUGUGGAUAAAUGAUUUCUGGCACAUGGGACAGAACAGAAAUCUCCCCAUCUUAUGCAGCUGAAAUUGGAGCCAGAGUUUGAAGGAGGUAAAAUGCUUGGCAAGGGAAAGCUGCUACAGCCCUAAAGGUCAGGAACAAACCUGGUGCUGAAGGUGAACGGAACACAGGAAAGACAAGAACAGUCAAGAAAGGGAUCAGACCAAGAAACCAACCCACACAGCAUGUCUUUGGCAUGCCCUUCACCAUACAAGGCCUAUGAAAAAUAUACACAAUGCCAUUCUUGUCAUCAAAGGGGGGACACUCUGUUGGGGGAAUGUUAGGGAAUCUUUAAUAUUAGAAAAGAACUAAGAGAACUUGAGGUGUUGUCUGAUGAAUGCUAAAUCAAGGAGGCAUAAAACAUAGGAUCAAGGUCAAGUUCAUGAAGAAAGACUUUGGGGAAAGCAGAAAUUCAAUAAACAGAAGAACCUGUCUAAUGCAACCCGUGUUGGAGGAGCAAGGGACGCUAAGUGUGCAAAGGUCCUAGAGGGCCUGGAGUUCCAGGAAAAGGAGUCAAGGAACAGGACAAGGCUGGAGGUGUUGCAACUGCACAGUGAUAUGACGAAAGCAAGAGUUUAGUAAGAUUAAUGAAAAUCUUAUGGCUAGGAUCAGCAGAGAGAUGCCACAUUUUAUUAUUUUUGUUUUUGUUCUUGGUACUCAAGCAAUAACACUCACGUUCAAGAAAUUAAAAUGGAGGGAUCAGAGCAGCUAGGAGAUGACUGGAAAGGUUCCAAAGGACAGAAAAGUUUUAAGACAGAGGACUUUUGUGAACUAGCUUUAAAUGCUUAACUUGACAGCUGAGAAAAAUAAUCCAUGGUGUCUGUGCUAUGGAAAGCCGGUGGCUUGUUUCUGUGAAUGCAGAGAAGAGGGAGAAAAGGAGCCACUGCAGCUCACUUUUCCACACUGUCCUGGAAAGGACAAGGGGUUCCAGACCCUGUCCCAGACCUAGAGCUUGAGGAGACAUGAUCUGGCAGAAGCUCUGACUGUCCUUGGGCAGUCUAUCCCUCCUCUACACUGGUUCUGUCAUGGCACAGGUGCUGGUGGAGAAUAAAUUACAGAAGCUCUGGAACAAAGCGUCACAUUUUUCAAGAGAAAAUAUAUACACCUGCGGAUCUGAUUUUUCGUAACACUAACAUGUUAAGAUAAACAUGCCCUUCAGGAAUACAAAUAAAAUUGGCAAUUUGUACCCAGUUUUUGAGGUUUAUAACCUCUUCUGACUAAAUUUAGAGCCAUGCCUGCUCAUCUGCCUUUUCAACAUUCCUGGGUGGCACAGCUCAUCUAUUAUAAUUGCUACACAAAAGUAACCAGUUCAGUCUGUUUAUUGCAUAUAUGGCUUGAACUAAAUAAGUCAUAGAGAAUGGACAUUAAAACUACCUCAUUAGAAAUGGCUAAGAUGCAUUUUUGCCAUAUUCUAUGAAAAAAUUACACUUUUAAAUAAAAUGCACACUAUAAAGCAUUUGAUUUAUUACGCGGAUUUGCUAUUGUAGUUUAAUAUCAAAUCUGUUAUGAUCUGCAAUCAAGGUAAAGUAGCUUUAGACUAUUUUAUGGUCUUUUAAGAGCACACAGCAUGCAAAGUGUCAUUUACAUUAUCUUAUGACAGAAUUUUUGCCACAAGUCACUGUACUACAGCACUUAGGGAUGCAGUCGCAGACCUACGUUAGCGCUCCCAAUACUAAUAUGUCAGAGGAAAAUAAUACUCCCUGAAAACGGAAACCAGAAUUUUACAUGUAAAAUAGAGAUUAUCUAUCAGUCUGAAACACUGAUUAGUGUCUAACUUUUAAAACAAAGACAGCUUGGUUGUAGAAAGUGGUCUUUUAUUUCUGAACUGAAUUUAUGCACUGACAAUGACAGAGCAUUUUAAAAACUCUCUUCCUCUCCCAUCAAAACCCGGAAUGUAUUUUCUUUGCUUUGACAAUGUCACCUUCAUGUUGACUUCACGUUACUUUUUCGUAAUGAAGACAGUAUUAUACUAGAAAGUAGAGAGAUUUGUAGCCAGAGAGGUCUAUGCUCAAGGGAUCCUUUGGUCAAUGACCAGCUAGGGGACUCUGGUGUAGCAGUUGUCUGGCCUCAGUAAUCCUACCCAUAAAGCAGAAUGGUAACAUCUAACCUCACAGGACCACUGCUAAGGGGCUGGCACAGUGCUUGACACAGAAUACAUACUCAAUAACUAAUAAAUGCUGUCUUCUUCUCCCAACACACUCCAAAAAAUGGCACUUCUAAUUCUUACCACUUGAUAGCACUAAGCUAGACUACCUCCUUACCUUAAUUUCGACAUGAUCCUGGGUUUGCAAAUGUUGAGAAAAUGUAGACCUACCACUUUUUAUCGUGACUUUUCAGUACAGUCAUUUGCAUAAUGUAGCCACUCAAUAUAUACUGGCUGAAUAUGUGAAACAUAAACAUGUAAUAUGAAUUUUUUUCCCCUGAAAGUGUUUGGUGUAGGGAACUGAAGGAGGUUGGCAGUAGUAGGGAGAAGGGAAAUAUUACAUUUUGCCUUGGAAAAUGAACACUGCCUUGUAUUUUAUUCCAAUUUAGCUUAUAAGAACACCAAGGAGGGAAGCGAGGUAAUUUAACAGUUUAACACGAAGUAAAAAUUAGUACCAAGAAGAGAACUGUAAAAUGUUAGCAGGGGGAAAGACCCAAAAAACUAACAGAAUUUUUGUUCCUAGACUGUUUUUCAUGUAUCUCUAAAUUUGUUGCUCUUAUAAAGAGAAAUCAAAACUAGAAAUCUUUUGGACACACACACACACACACACACACACACAGUACCAAAGAACUAUGUCAGAAUCUGCAGAAACUGAAUGCAUUAAACUGCAACACUGAAAAACAUAUUAAUGUUUUCAUUAAUUCAAACUGCUUCAUUCAAAACAAGAAAAGCAUGACAGAGACUAAAAGUAAACAAUGCUCUCUGAAGCAAAACAGAGAGUUAUCUGAAACUAUUAAAAGAGUGUGCAAAUUACCUAGAAAUUUCUUUUGAUUCUGAUACAAGCAAAAGAGGCAAGAGUCAAAUUGGACAUAUCCUAGACCAAACACUAGUGUUGGCUUUGAUCCAAAACACAGCACCAGCGUAUUGAUUUUCAAAUGCAGUAAGUCCAUCCUUUUCUAAAGUAAGAUGUCUUGACUGCCCCAGGACCUUGAAAAGCCAGUCUUGAGAACAGAGUGAAAAGGGAAAUGAUAUCUCUUCUACUCAUUUUUAGCUCUAAGAAAUCUGGGGACACAGUAUAAAUGCAUCACUGGUAUAUACACUUGGACAGUAUAAGCAAGAGAAUGCUAAUGUAAUCUGCCAGCACAGUUGAUGUUCCUAAACUCAGAUAUUUUAUUCAAGGGGCACUUGUGACCAUGGUCACGGCUCUGAGUGGAUCUGAUGGAAAAGGAAUGUUGGUUUCUCCCACGUGGGUUUCCUACUGGUUUGCCUCUGAGCAAACCGUCCUUAGACACUGUAGCUGAAGAUAAGCAGUCAUUCCAGAGCCAGAGCAGUGUGGUUCUGAAAGUUUACAGUCUUAACGUUUAAGAAAAUCAGAGGGGAAUCAUCUGUAUGUAAAAGAAUGGAACUAAGGAGAACCAAAUGCUGUAAAUUACUUCAGAAUCAGUUUCACGAAAUUACCAUAUCCCAAAUGAAAGGGCUAUACCUCACUCUCAAGAUGGCUGGAAUUCACUGCAUUUUCCAGAAGAUGUUCUCAUUCUCCUUUGCGAGUAAGGGGGCUGUGAAUGAAGGCUAGGACUGUUUACAUGACUUUGUAAUAAUUUUCCCAUCUUGGUUGUUUUGAGAAAUCUUGCACAAUAAGAGAGGUACUAAUGGAAAGUGAAAAUGCCAUUCAGAUUCUCUAAAAUAACAAAAAACUAGAUUCAAGAAAUGAAGGCUAAUACUGAUCUGAAGCAAAAUUCCAGAGUGGAUUGGUAAACAGAAGGUUAGAGAGACUUGUGAAAAGAACAAAUACGAGUGAAGUCCUGAAGAGCAAACCAUACACAUUCAAGUUUUGUUCUUUCUGUUUUGGGGGGGGGGGUUGCUAAGGAAGAAAGAGCUGCUUGGGAAUGCCACACAGCGUAUUUUUAUUUGAGGUAAAUAAAAAUCAUUAUUUGCUCAUGGAACUAGAUGAGGACACUUGGGAAGAGAACACGUCUGACCUCCAG